RNAcentral lists this ribosomal RNA (255 nucleotides) under uncultured bacterium. RNAcentral's name for it is "partial 16S ribosomal RNA". It matches the Rfam family "Bacterial small subunit ribosomal RNA", at positions 524 to 776 of the family's 1533-position model. The record is from RNAcentral.
UACAGAGGUCUCAAGCGUUGUUCGGAUUCAUUGGGCGUAAAGGGUGCGUAGGCGGCGCGGUAAGUCGGGUGUGAAAUCUCGGAGCUUAACUCCGAAACUGCAUUCGAUACUGCCGUGCUUGAGGACUGGAGAGGAGACUGGAAUUUACGGUGUAGCGGUGAAAUGCGUAGAUAUCGUAAGGAAGACCAGUGGCGAAGGCGGGUCGUCGUGGGACGGUACUGACGCUGAGACGCGAAAGCGUGGGGAGCGAACAGG